RNAcentral lists this ribosomal RNA (425 nucleotides) under uncultured bacterium. RNAcentral's name for it is "partial 16S ribosomal RNA". It matches the Rfam family "Bacterial small subunit ribosomal RNA", at positions 354 to 796 of the family's 1533-position model. The record is from RNAcentral.
GUGGGGAAUAUUGGACAAUGGGGGCAACCCUGAUCCAGCAAUGCCGCGUGUGUGAAGAAGGUCUUCGGAUUGUAAAGCACUUUCGACGGGGACGAUGAUGACGGUACCCGUAGAAGAAGCCCCGGCUAACUUCGUGCCAGCAGCCGCGGUAAUACGAAGGGGGCUAGCGUUGCUCGGAAUGACUGGGCGUAAAGGGCGUGUAGGCGGUUUACACAGUCAGAUGUGAAAUCCCCGGGCUUAACCUGGGAGCUGCAUUUGAUACGUGUAGACUAGAGUGUGAGAGAGGGUUGUGGAAUUCCCAGUGUAGAGGUGAAAUUCGUAGAUAUUGGGAAGAACACCGGUGGCGAAGGCGGCAACCUGGCUCAUGACUGACGCUGAGGCGCGAAAGCGUGGGGAGCAAACAGGAUUAGAAACCCCUGUAGUCC